UGUUGCUACGCGUGGACCUGCUGUAAGCUGCUGGCUUCUGGUGUGCCCAGCCUCCCAUGCCAUUUUAAACAACUGAUCAGCUCUGGAGGUGGCAGCUUGAGAGGCAAAGCCUGAGAUGCUCAGCUAAGAGAGACAGCUCUAGCCUUGCAGCCCCAUCUUGCUCCAUACCAGCUAUUAGUUACGGGAUUUGACCUGAGUGGGGAUCAAUUUUCCAGGUCAGGAAACCAAGACUCCUUUAAAAAGAAAGCCAACACAGACUUGCACACCAAAGUUGGAAAGGUCUCCAGAGACACAGUGCCAGUAUGCAAGAGACCCACAGAGGCCAGGUCCAGUCUCCAGGGCUGGGGAGGAG
Long non-coding RNA from Bos taurus (domestic cattle), 352 nucleotides. The record is from Ensembl. NCBI's taxonomy places the organism in Eukaryota, Metazoa, Chordata, Mammalia, Artiodactyla, Bovidae.